Molecule: ribosomal RNA, 409 nt
Filed under: uncultured bacterium
Lineage: Bacteria
Description: bacterial SSU rRNA
Rfam family: Bacterial small subunit ribosomal RNA
Source: RNAcentral
GACGAACGCUGGCGGCGCGCCUAACACAUGCAAGUCGAACGAGCGAGAGAGAGCUUGCUUUCUCGAGCGAGUGGCGAACGGGUGAGUAACGCGUGAGGAACCUGCCUCAAAGAGGGGGACAACAGUUGGAAACGACUGCUAAUACCGCAUAAGCCCACGGCUCGGCAUCGAGCAGAGGGAAAAGGAGCAAUCCGCUUUGAGAUGGCCUCGCGUCCGAUUAGCUAGUUGGUGAGGUAACGGCCCACCAAGGCGACGAUCGGUAGCCGGACUGAGUGGUUGAACGGCCACAUUGGGACUGAGACACGGCCCAGACUCCUACGGGAGGCAGCAGUGGGGAAUAUUGCACAAUGGGGGAAACCCUGAUGCAGCGACGCCGCGUGGAGGAAGAAGGUCUUCGGAUUGUAAACUC